Molecule: transfer RNA, 85 nt
Filed under: Arthrobacter sp. B2a2-09
Lineage: Bacteria; Bacillati; Actinomycetota; Actinomycetes; Micrococcales; Micrococcaceae
Description: tRNA-OTHER
Rfam family: tRNA
About the family: Transfer RNA (tRNA) molecules are approximately 80 nucleotides in length. Their secondary structure includes four short double-helical elements and three loops (D, anti-codon, and T loops).
Source: RNAcentral
GGGAAUGUAGCUCAGGUGGUUAGAGCGCUGGGUGUGCGCACACAGAACAAGACAGAGGUCGCUGGUUCGAAUCCAGCCAUUCCCC